This 569-nucleotide ribosomal RNA is filed under the name Cryptorhynchinae gen. sp. ARC4805. Its description in RNAcentral is "SSU rRNA". It matches the Rfam family "Eukaryotic small subunit ribosomal RNA", at positions 30 to 581 of the family's 1831-position model. Lineage: Eukaryota; Metazoa; Arthropoda; Insecta; Coleoptera; Curculionidae. The record is from RNAcentral.
GCUUGUCUCAAAGAUUAAGCCAUGCAUGUCUCAGUACAAGCCAAAUUAAGGUGAAACCGCGAAAGGCUCAUUAAAUCAGUUAUGGUUCCUUAGAUCGUACCCACAAUUACUUGGAUAACUGUGGUAAUUCUAGAGCUAAUACAUGCAAACAGAGCUCCGACCGGAGACGGAAGGAGUGCUUUUAUUAGAUCAAAACCAAUCGGUGGCGGGCUCGUCAUCGUCCAACUUGGUGACUCUGAAUAACUUUACGCUGAUCGCACGGUCAUCGCACCGGCGACGCAUCUUUCAAAUGUCUGCCUUAUCAACUGUCGAUGGUAGGUUCUGCGCCUACCAUGGUUGUAACGGGUAACGGGGAAUCAGGGUUCGAUUCCGGAGAGGGAGCCUGAGAAACGGCUACCACAUCCAAGGAAGGCAGCAGGCGCGCAAAUUACCCACUCCCGGCACGGGGAGGUAGUGACGAAAAAUAACGAUACGGGACUCAUCCGAGGCCCCGUAAUCGGAAUGAGUACACUCUAAACCCUUUAACGAGGAUCAAUUGGAGGGCAAGUCUGGUGCCAGCAGCCGCGGUA